GACGAACGCUGGCGGCGUGCUUAACACAUGCAAGUCGAACGGAAAGGCCCUGCUUUCGUGGGGUGCUCGAGUGGCGAACGGGUGAGUAACACGUGAGUAACCUGCCCUUGACUUUGGGAUAACUUCAGGAAACUGGGGCUAAUACCGGAUAGGAGCUCCUGCUGCAUGGUGGGGGUUGGAAAGUUUCGGCGGUUGGGGAUGGACUCGCGGCUUAUCAGCUUGUUGGUGGGGUAGUGGCUUACCAAGGCUUUGACGGGUAGCCGGCCUGAGAGGGUGACCGGCCACAUUGGGACUGAGAUACGGCCCAGACUCCUACGGGAGGCAGCAGUGGGGAAUAUUGCACAAUGGGCGGAAGCCUGAUGCAGCAACGCCGCGUGCGGGAUGACGGCCUUCGGGUUGUAAACCGCUUUCGCCUGUGACGAAGCGUGAGUGACGGUAAUGGGUAAAGAAGCGCCGGCUAACUACGUG
Molecule: ribosomal RNA, 468 nt
Filed under: uncultured bacterium
Lineage: Bacteria
Description: partial 16S ribosomal RNA
Rfam family: Bacterial small subunit ribosomal RNA
Source: RNAcentral